Molecule: non-coding RNA, 74 nt
Filed under: Paracoccus onubensis
Lineage: Bacteria; Pseudomonadati; Pseudomonadota; Alphaproteobacteria; Rhodobacterales; Paracoccaceae
Source: RNAcentral
AUGCGAAACCCGUCCGGGUCAGCCCGGACGCGGUCGGUCGGGCGUGGUGGCCCGGUCCUGAUGAGCAGCCGGAG